UUGCUGAUGAUGCGUGAAGAGCGCCCCUCUCAUCUUCCAAAAGAGCAGAAUUAACCGACUGACGCUUUCACGGUGCUGUUGCUGCGGCGCCUCUCUGCUCCCCGGCUGCCCUCGCUGGUGCCGGUGCUGCUGAGCG
Molecule: small nucleolar RNA, 136 nt
Filed under: Leishmania panamensis
Lineage: Eukaryota; Euglenozoa; Kinetoplastea; Trypanosomatida; Trypanosomatidae
Description: C/D snoRNA
Source: RNAcentral